GAUUUGACCGUAAGCAAAACACCGGUUCUCGUACGAUCACCGAAGUUAAGCAGCGUAGAGCCAGGUCAGUACUUAGAUGGGGGACCACC
Non-coding RNA from Acanthosepion pharaonis, 89 nucleotides. The record is from the annotation of a GenBank genome assembly. Lineage: Eukaryota; Metazoa; Mollusca; Cephalopoda; Sepiida; Sepiidae.